AUUGAACGCUGGCGGAAUGCUUUACACAUGCCAGUCGAACGGCAGCACGGGGGCAGCCCUGGUGGCGAGUGGCGAACGGGUGAGUAAUACAUCGGAACGUGCCCGGUCGUGGGGGAUAACGUAGCGAAAGUUACGCUAAUACCGCAUACGAUCUGAGGAUGAAAGCGGGGGACCUUCGGGCCUCGCGCGAUCGGAGCGGCCGAUGUCAGAUUAGGUAGUUGGUGGGGUAAAGGCCUACCAAGCCGACGAUCUGUAGCUGGUCUGAGAGGACGACCAGCCACACUGAGACUGAGACACGGCCCAGACUCCUACGGGAGGCAGCAGUGGGGAAUUUUGGACAAUGGGCGCAAGCCUGAUCCAGCCAUUCCGCGUGCAGGACGAAGGCCUUCGGGUUGUAAACUGCUUUUGUACGGAACGAAAAGGCUCUGGCUAAUACCUGGGGCUCAUGACGGUACCGUAAGAAUAAGCACCGGCUAACUACGUG
Molecule: ribosomal RNA, 484 nt
Filed under: uncultured bacterium
Lineage: Bacteria
Description: partial 16S ribosomal RNA
Rfam family: Bacterial small subunit ribosomal RNA
Source: RNAcentral